RNAcentral lists this ribosomal RNA (253 nucleotides) under uncultured bacterium. Its description in RNAcentral is "partial 16S ribosomal RNA". It matches the Rfam family "Bacterial small subunit ribosomal RNA", at positions 524 to 776 of the family's 1533-position model. The record is from RNAcentral.
UACGUAGGGGGCUAGCGUUGUCCGGAAUCAUUGGGCGUAAAGCGCGCGUAGGCCGCCCGGUAAGUCCGCUGUAAAAGUCAAAGGCUCAACCUUUGAAUGUCAGUGGAUACUGCCGGGCUAGAGUCCGGAAGAGGCGAGUGGAACUCCUGGUGUAGCGGUGGAAUGCGCAGAUAUCAGGAAGAACACCUAUGGCGAAGGCAGCUCUCUGGGACGGUACUGACGCUGAGACGCGAAAGCGUGGGGAGCGAACAGG